Molecule: ribosomal RNA, 457 nt
Filed under: uncultured bacterium
Lineage: Bacteria
Description: bacterial SSU rRNA
Rfam family: Bacterial small subunit ribosomal RNA
Source: RNAcentral
UACGGGAGGCAGCAGUGGGGAAUAUUGCACAAUGGGCGAAAGCCUGAUGCAGCUAUGCCGCGUGUAUGAAGAAGGCCUUAGGGUUGUAAAGUACUUUCAUCGGGGAGGAAAAAACAAAACUAAUAAUUUUAUUUCUUGACGUUACCCGAAAAAGAAGCACCGGCUAACUCCGUGCCAGCAGCCGCGGUAAUACGGAGGGUGCUAGCGUUAAUCAGAAUUACUGGGCGUAAAGAGCACGUAGGUGGUUUUUUUAAGUCAGAUGUGGAAUCCCUGGGCUUAACCUAGGAACUGCAUUUUGAAACUGAAAUACUAGAGUAUCGUAGAGGGAGGUAGAAUUCUAGGUGUAGCGGUGAAAUGCGUAGAUAUCUGGAGGAAUACCUGUGGCGAAAGCGGCCUCCUAAACCGAAUACUGACACUGAGGUGCGAAAGCGUGGGGAGCAAACAGGGAUUAGAUACC